CCUACGGGGUGCAGCAGUGGGGAAUAUUGGACAAUGGGCGAAAGCCUGAUCCAGCCAUGCCGCGUGUGUGAAGAAGGCCUUCGGGUUGUAAAGCACUUUCAGUGGGGAAGAAAGCCUUGGGGCUAAUACCCUCGAGGAAGGACAUCACCCACAGAAGAAGCACCGGCUAACUCCGUGCCAGCAGCCGCGGUAAUACGGAGGGUGCGAGCGUUAAUCGGAAUUACUGGGCGUAAAGCGCGCGUAGGCGGUCUGAUAAGCCGGUUGUGAAAGCCCCGGGCUCAACCUGGGAACGGCAUCCGGAACUGUCAGGCUAGAGUGCAGGAGAGGAAGGUAGAAUUCCCGGUGUAGCGGUGAAAUGCGUAGAGAUCGGGAGGAAUACCAGUGGCGAAGGCGGCCUUCUGGACUGACACUGACGCUGAGGUGCGAAAGCGUAGGUAGCAAACAGGAUUAGAUACCCCAGUAGUC
This 465-nucleotide ribosomal RNA is filed under the name Vreelandella stevensii. RNAcentral describes it as "partial 16S ribosomal RNA". It matches the Rfam family "Bacterial small subunit ribosomal RNA", at positions 338 to 795 of the family's 1533-position model. Lineage: Bacteria; Pseudomonadati; Pseudomonadota; Gammaproteobacteria; Oceanospirillales; Halomonadaceae. The record is from RNAcentral.